GUGGGGAAUAUUGGGCAAUGGGGGAAACCCUGACCCAGCGACGCCGCGUGAGGGAAGAAGGCCUUAGGGUCGUAAACCUCUGUUGUGUGGGAAGAAGAGCGUGACGGUACCACACGAGGAAGUCCCGGCUAACUACGUGCCAGCAGCCGCGGUAAUACGUAGGGGACGAGCGUUGUCCGGAUUUACUGGGCGUAAAGGGCGCGUAGGAGGUCAUUUAAGUCAGCUGGGAAAUGGUUUGGCUUAACCGGAUCAUGCGGUUGAAACUGGAUGACUGGAGUGCUGGAGAGGCAAGUGGAAUUCCCAGUGUAGCGGUGAAAUGCGUAGAUAUUGGGAAGAACACCGGUGGCGAAGGCGACUUGCUGGCCAGCAACUGACGCUGAGGCGCGAAAGCCAGGGGAGCAAACGGGAUUAGAAACCCCAGUAGUCC
This 427-nucleotide ribosomal RNA is filed under the name uncultured bacterium. Its description in RNAcentral is "partial 16S ribosomal RNA". It matches the Rfam family "Bacterial small subunit ribosomal RNA", at positions 354 to 796 of the family's 1533-position model. The record is from RNAcentral.